RNAcentral lists this non-coding RNA (29 nucleotides) under Homo sapiens (human). The record is from RNAcentral. Lineage: Eukaryota; Metazoa; Chordata; Mammalia; Primates; Hominidae.
UACAAACUGAACUGUUGGAGGGCAUGUAC